Molecule: unclassified non-coding RNA, 2798 nt
Filed under: Hevea brasiliensis (rubber tree)
Lineage: Eukaryota; Viridiplantae; Streptophyta; Magnoliopsida; Malpighiales; Euphorbiaceae
Source: RNAcentral
UUUUUCUCCCUUUACCAACCCAUAGAAAUCUUGGAUUUUUAGAUUACAGUUUGUUAAUUCCUAAUGUUUAGGGAAUUGGGUAGCUGGGAUUUUUGCUAAAUAGUAAAAACUCCCCAAGCUCUCAAUUGCCUGCCAUUUCCUCUUUCUUACUCAAAUUUGAUAGGAUUAGCUUUUUGAGUAUUGUGGUGUGUGUGAUUGCCAAUGGAUAAGGAUGUUAAUGAUGCUAAUGGGUUCACAAAUAAGCCUUUGAUAACUGUAGACUCUGAAAAAGUUGAAAAUCAUACUGAUGAUAGAGAAGAUUACAGUGAGUCCAAGACCUUGUUGCCUCCCAGGAGGGGUGGGAUGGCAAGAAAUCCACACAGAGUGCGGAGAAAAGUUCAGUGGAAUGAUAACAAUGGGAAUGAACUCACCGAGGUUUUAAUAUUUGAACCAAGGUAAUAAUAGUUUUUUGCUUUAGGCAAAGAACUUUUGGUAUUUUGCAUUUUUGCUUGCUAUUUUUAUUUUCAUCUGAUGUUUGGUAAAUUUGUUUGAGGUGUUGGUUUUUGGUUUGUAUACUUGGUAUAUUUAAUGCAUGUUUAUGGUUACUACUAUCGAAUCCAACUGCACAAUCAUUCCAAGAAUGUAAUUUGUAUGCAUGUGUGGAAUGCUAUAGCAGGAUCUGCCUCGGUUUGACUGGUAUAUUUGGGUUAUAUCUGGGUGGUUGUAUGACUUGUAUGACUGUAAUUAUUGCUAUACUGGGUAAUUGAAUUCCUUGAAUAUUUGUGCAUGCUUAUCUGCUAGCCCACAUUCAAGAAUUUGUGGUGUGUAUCUCUACUUUUGGUUAGGUUGAAGUGAUUGAAGUGUUCAUAGCAUGUGUGUAUGGUAUCUCUGGGUUGGAUCAUGUUUAAUAAUUUUGAUAAUUUUUUUAAAAUGCAGGUGAUAAUUUUGUUUUCAUUGAAUUCUAGCUUAUGUGUGUAUGGUAUUCUCUGGGUUGGAUUAGAAAUAUUCCUUGCUCAUACUAAUACUGUAUGGGAAAAUUAAAUGAGUUAACCCAUUUACUCCCUGGAAACUGCUAUUGCCAUUCUGUAUUUAUUGUCUCACUAAGGAGGCUGAGAUAGGGACUGGAAUUGAGAAUUAGCAGUUAGAAAUUUGGAUUCACUGCCUCGUUGAAUAUGUAGCUUCUGUUAGAGGCAGGGCUCUGUUAUCCUGAUAAUUAUCAAUAGACAGCUUCAAAUGAUGGCUUGCCCUCUAGUGUGAUAUGAAUGUGCGUGGAAAGAAUUGAUGAUACAUUUUAGUGAAAACAUUUAAUAGUUAAUACACUAAUUUUCCAACCAUGUUAUGGGCUAAAGCUCUGAUGAAACACCGAAUUGAAAUCAAUUCCUUGGUUCAGCUUCAGCUGCUUGCUUUAAUCAUUUGGUCACUCAGAGGAUCUUCAAUUCUGCUACAUUGCAUUAAGAAAUAACUGAAAAUAGGCAACAAUUCAUGUUUAGGUAAAUAAUCAUUUUCUUAUGCAUUUAACAACUGUUCACAGAUCUAAUGCUAGUGACUUUGUGCCUCACUCCAUGUUUUCUGUUUGUGCCUGCAGUGAUGAUAGUGAUUCUGAUGAUGACGAUUCAGAUUCUUGCGCCUGUACCAUAAUGUAGUUAUUUCAGUACAUUUUGUAUAGGUCUGCUAGAUAAGUCAAUGAAGCAUUCUCUGUGAUCACAAAUUUGAUAGUUAGAAGUGACUGGGCCUCUUUUCAACUUCUUGUUGCUAGAACCAAAGGGCUGAAGGAUGAAAAGGCAAGUGUCAUGCUUUUCAAAAUGAAGUUUAAUGUCAGUUCAUCAAAAUGAACUGUUUGCUCAUCAAAAUGAAGUUUAAUGCCAGUUCAUAAAUUUUGUGGUGAGUUUUAUGACAUAGCUUUCAGUUGUGUGGAUCUCAUCCCAGGAUUUGAAGCAGAUAGCAAUAAUGACGGUCAAAGUCAAUUAAAACUGACCACUUUUGGCGUCGACACACAUCAAUAUGUGAGAAAUGAACAACAGUCAAGAGAUUGCUUUGGAUGAUUGUUUGCUUAAGUUGCCGUUAAAACUCUGAUCAUUUUAUGCUGGUAGCGAUAUGAGCUAUUCAUCAUAGCUAUUGUCAUAUUAAAUUCUGUAGUUUGCUGCAUUUUUAUGGGAUCAAGCUUCCCGUAGCGAACCUCAUGAUCCUGAGCUCUUACAACGAGCAUGUAUAAGUUGUAAAUGUUUAAUUCAGUUAUAAUAUAAUGGUGAUGUGUAAUUUUCUCAACCUUUCAUAAAACUUUCUCAAUUGAUCCCUGAUUACUAGCCAUGGGACAAGAAGGGAGGAAAUGGAGGUGAAUAAAUAAAAAAUAAUAAUAAUAAUUUAGAAUAUAAAUAUCAAUGAGCCUAUUUUAUUGCAAUGUUCCAACGUCGAACUUGUAUCAUAUUUUUAAGAACGAAAUUGAUAAAUUCCAGAAUUGAAAUUUUCUCUAAAAUGUGAGAUCAAAUUUUAAUAAUAAAGAAGUGAAAUGAUAUGAUGUAGAUGAUAGCAGUAGGAAAACUUACCCGAUUUUGAAAAUUUGGGUUGCUUUUGACAGAUAGGAAGAUCCGCAAGAACCCAGCAUGAACCAGGACAGGCUCCUUCCCUUCUUCUUCUCCUCCUCCUUCUUCUCCAUCAAAUUGAUGCUCCAAAGGAAAGAAAAGGCCAUUGGUAGCAGUAACAAGCGGUUCAAGAUUUCUGCCGGAGGUUGGGUCGGGCCCUGACCCCAAUUGAACACCAGAAAAUGCCAGAUGGCCGACGCUUCCCAUCUGCUCUGCUACAAAACCUUGCGACGGCAUCGU